GUUAAAGUGGCAGAGUCCGGUAUACUGCUAAAGACCUAAGUCCUUUCUCACAGAUGUUCAAAUCCUCUCUUUAACU
RNAcentral lists this transfer RNA (76 nucleotides) under Paracirrhites arcatus (arc-eye hawkfish). RNAcentral describes it as "tRNA-Leu". The record is from RNAcentral. Lineage: Eukaryota; Metazoa; Chordata; Actinopteri; Centrarchiformes; Cirrhitidae.